AGAGUUUGCNCCUUUAAUCAGAACGAACGCUGGCGGCGUGCUUAACACAUGCAAGUCGAGUGCGCGCCUGUAGCAAUACAGGUGGCGCACGGCGCACGGGUGCGUAACACGUGGGUAAUCUGCCCUCUGAUGGGGAAUAACUCGCCGAAAGGCGAGCUAAUUCCGCAUAACAUUCCGGGGACUUUGGUUCUUGGAUUCAAAGGCGUAAGUCGUCGGAGGAGGAGCCCGCGCACGAUUAGCUAGUUGGUGAGGUAAUGGCUCACCAAGGCUAUGAUCGUUAGCUGGUCUGAGAGGAUGGCCAGCCACACUGGAACUGAGACACGGUCCAGACUCCUACGGGAGGCAGCAGUGGGGAAUCUUGCACAAUGGGCGAAAGCCUGAUGCAGCGACGCCGCGUGGGGGAUGAAGCUUCUCGGAGUGUAAACCCCUUUCGACCCGGACGAAUACCUCGCAAGAGGGGUGACGGUACGGGUAUAAGAAGCCCCGGCUAACUACGUGCCAGCAGCCGCGGUAAGACGUAGGGGGCCAGCGUUGUUCGGAAUUACUGGGUGUAAAGGGUUCGUAGGCGGUGUGGCAAGUCGGGAGUGAAAUCUCUGGGCUCAACUCAGAGACUGCUUCCGAAACUGCUGUGCUUGAGUGUGGGAGAGGCGCGUGGAAUUGCAGGUGUAGCGGUGAAAUGCGUAGAUAUCUGCAGGAACACCCGUGGCGAAAGCGGCGCGCUGGACCACUACUGACGCUGAGGAACGAAAG
Molecule: ribosomal RNA, 750 nt
Filed under: uncultured Rhizobium sp.
Lineage: Bacteria; Pseudomonadati; Pseudomonadota; Alphaproteobacteria; Hyphomicrobiales; Rhizobiaceae
Description: bacterial SSU rRNA
Rfam family: Bacterial small subunit ribosomal RNA
Source: RNAcentral